AUGGGCAUCAGCCUGGCGUUCAUGGCGGUGCUCAAAGGACCACCGGUCCGGAGAUAUGGGCAGGUCGACAUCUUCGUCAUGGGGAUCGGCAGUGGCGGUACCGCCACGGGGGUCGGCAAGUACCUCAAGGAGAAGAACCCCAAUGCCAAGAUCUUUGGAGUUGAACCUGCUGAAGCAAAUGUUGUGAAUGGUGGCAAGCCAGGGCCUCACCUCAUCACUGGAAAUGGAGUGGGAUUUAAGCCAGAUAUUUUGGACAUGGACAUAAUGGAUUAG
This 273-nucleotide ribosomal RNA is filed under the name Triticum aestivum (bread wheat). Its description in RNAcentral is "partial small subunit ribosomal RNA". Lineage: Eukaryota; Viridiplantae; Streptophyta; Magnoliopsida; Poales; Poaceae. The record is from RNAcentral.